This is a long non-coding RNA of Leopardus geoffroyi (Geoffroy's cat), 879 nucleotides long. RefSeq lists it as uncharacterized. The record is from RefSeq and is a predicted model, not a curated record. Lineage: Eukaryota; Metazoa; Chordata; Mammalia; Carnivora; Felidae. The transcript is spliced from 5 exons.
UGACGUCACACGGCUUCUUCCGGUGACCAGGACGCAGCCACCCUCGGGACUACAGAGGGAAAGAAGAGAAGUGGCUGGAGGUGAUAAAAUGUAGAGUAGCCCUAAACUCGUAAUUUUUUUGGAAGAAUUGUCUGCUGUUCUGGGAGCCAAUUACACCUUGGAAGACCAUAGGAGAGCUUGACAGAGCAGAUAAGGAGUCACCAGUAUAUAAAUGGAAAUUGAAGGUAUGGGAAUUGAUGAGCUCACCCAUCAGAUGUAUAUAGAGUGAGAACAACAAGUCCUUGGAGAGGCAGCUGAGAACAGCAGUUGACUGGCAAUUGACACUGAGAAGGAACAGCCAAAAAGGCUAGCGAUAUGUGGCAGGAUCCUCUUUUGUGAUGUGGGUAGUGGCAAUGAGCCACAGCUUCUAGCCAGCCAUGAUUGCAAAGAAUGCAGUUUUCCUAGGCUUCAAGCCACUCAGCAUGGAUGGCCUCCAACAGACCUGCAGCCACUAGUAGGUGGGAUCUUGUCUCAUCCAAAGGGCUUCUUCUGUGGCUUAUAGAAGGAGAUGUUACAUUCUCCUUACAUGUAACAUCUGGUCUACUAAUUCAGAUGAUCAUUUUCCAUUGGAUACAAGCUUCAAUGAUAGAUAUUACCCAGCUUAGUUUCUGUCUUUCUCUUUUGUGGCUGAGAUUAUUUUUGCUGUUCAGGGAUUAGUUUUUGUUUGUUUGUUUUUGUUUUUGUUUUUUUUGGUCCUAACACAAUUAUAAGAAAACAUGUUUAAAAGAUCACUUUAACAUUAUUGAAAUAUAGGGACGCCUGGGUGGCUCAGUUGGUUGAGUGUCCGACUUCGGCUUGGGUCAUGAUCUCAUGGUUCGUGAGUUCGAGCCCUGCAUUGGA